RNAcentral lists this ribosomal RNA (253 nucleotides) under Mediterraneibacter gnavus ATCC 29149. RNAcentral describes it as "[Ruminococcus] gnavus ATCC 29149 partial 16S ribosomal RNA". It matches the Rfam family "Bacterial small subunit ribosomal RNA", at positions 524 to 776 of the family's 1533-position model. The record is from RNAcentral. Lineage: Bacteria; Bacillati; Bacillota; Clostridia; Lachnospirales; Lachnospiraceae.
UACGUAGGGGGCAAGCGUUAUCCGGAUUUACUGGGUGUAAAGGGAGCGUAGACGGCAUGGCAAGCCAGAUGUGAAAGCCCGGGGCUCAACCCCGGGACUGCAUUUGGAACUGUCAGGCUAGAGUGUCGGAGAGGAAAGUGGAAUUCCUAGUGUAGCGGUGAAAUGCGUAGAUAUUAGGAGGAACACCAGUGGCGAAGGCGGCUUUCUGGACGAUGACUGACGUUGAGGCUCGAAAGCGUGGGGAGCAAACAGG